RNAcentral lists this ribosomal RNA (1973 nucleotides) under human metagenome. Its description in RNAcentral is "bacterial LSU rRNA". It matches the Rfam family "Bacterial large subunit ribosomal RNA", at positions 708 to 2665 of the family's 2925-position model. The record is from RNAcentral.
CGUAGACCCGAAACCACAGUGAUCUACCCAUGUCCAGGUUGAAGCACAGGUAAAAAUGUGUGGAGGACCGAACCUAUAUCCGUUGAAAAGGGUUAGGAUGAGGUGUGGGUAGGGGUGAAAUUCCAAUCGAACGUGGAGAUAGCUGGUUCUCCCCGAAAUAGCUUUAGGGCUAGCCUCAUGAAAAGAGAUUACAGGCGGUAGAGCACUGAUCAGGAGAGGGACCUACCCGGUUACCAAACCCAGUCAAACUACGAAUGGCUGUAAUUACACAUGGGAGUCAGACUACGACUUAUAAGGGCCGUAGUCAAAAGGGAAACAGCCCAGACCAACAGCUAAGGUCCCCAAUGCCGUGCUAAGUGGAGAAGGAUGUGGCAUUUCAUAAACAACCAGGAUGUUGGCUCAGAAGCAGCCACCAUUUAAAGAGUGCGUAAUAGCUCACUGGUCGAGAGACGCUGCGCCGAAAAUGUCCGGGGCUCAAGCACGGAACCGAAGCUAUGGCAUGAUAGCAAUAUCAUGGGUAGGGGAGCGUUCUUAUGAGGGCGAAGCAUGACCGGAAGGACAUGUGGACAAAUAAGAAGAGAGAAUGCCGGUAUGAGUAUCGAAAAGAAAGGUGAGAAUCCUUUCCACCGAAAGCCCGAGGGUUCCUGAGCAACGAUCGUCGACUCAGGGUAAGUCGGGACCUAAGCCGAGGCGAAAAGCAUAGGCGAUGGAGAGCAGGUUGAAAUUCCUGCACCGGAUAAAUUCGAUUGACUGAUGGAGAGACGCAGGAAGGUACAUGAGCGCGCGAGUGGAAGAGCGCGUCUAAGUGCGUAUGGGAAUAUAGAGGCAAAUCCCUAUAUUCAAAACCAAAGACAUGAUGGGGAGUUAAAGGAAACUUUGACGAACUCAUGGAUCCCACACUGCCAAGAAAAACUUCUAAGGAGAAGAUAUCCGCCCGUACCGUAAACCGACACAGGUAGGCGGGGAGAGAAUCCUAAGGUGCGCGGGAAAACCCUCGUUAAGGAACUCGGCAAAUUGCAUCCGUAACUUCGGGAAAAGGAUGACCCUAAGUAAGCGAAGAGACGAAACGCUUGGAACAGAACAGGGUGGCAGAAAAGAGGCCCAAGCAACUGUUUACCAAAAACACAGGUGCCUGCGAAAGCGAAAGCUGAAGUAUAGGUGCUGACGCCUGCCCGGUGCCGGAAGGUUAAGGAGAGAUGUCAGCUAAGGCGAAGCAUUGAACUGAAGCCCCGGUGAACGGCGGCCGUAACUAUAACGGUCCUAAGGUAGCGAAAUUCCUUGUCGGGUAAGUUCCGACCCGCAUGAAAGGCGUAAUGAUUUGGGCACUGUCUCAACGAGGGGCCCGGUGAAAUUGAAAUACCUGUGAAGAUGCAGGUUACCCGCGACUGGACAGAAAGACCCCAUGGAGCUUCACUGCAGCUUGAGAUUGAAUUUCGGUGAUAGACGCACAGGAUAGGUGGGAGACAUAGAGAUACUAUUUUCGGAUAGUAAGGAGUCGAUGUUGGGAUACCACCCUUCUGUCACUGAGAUUCUAACGCGAAGAGUAACGAACUUGCGAACCAUCUCAGGUAGGCGGUUUGACUGGGGCGGUCGCCUCCGAAAGAGUAACGGAGGCGCCCAAAGGUUCCCUCAGGUCGGACAGAAACCGACCGAAGAGUGCAAAGGCAGAAGGGAGCUUGACUGCGAGACAGACAAGUCGAGCAGAGACGAAAGUCGGGCUUAGUGAUCCGGUGGUACUGAGUGGAAAGGCCAUCGCUCAACGGAUAAAAGCUACCCUGGGGAUAACAGGCUAAUCUCUCCCAAGAGUUCAUAUCGACGGGGAGGUUUGGCACCUCGAUGUCGGCUCAUCACAUCCUGGGGCUGGAGUAGGUCCCAAGGGUUGGGCUGUUCGCCCAUUAAAGUGGUACGCGAGCUGGGUUCAAAACGUCGUGAGACAGUUUGGUUCAUAUCCAUCGCGGGCGCAAGAAGUUUGA